RNAcentral lists this ribosomal RNA (465 nucleotides) under Vreelandella stevensii. RNAcentral's name for it is "partial 16S ribosomal RNA". It matches the Rfam family "Bacterial small subunit ribosomal RNA", at positions 338 to 795 of the family's 1533-position model. The record is from RNAcentral. Lineage: Bacteria; Pseudomonadati; Pseudomonadota; Gammaproteobacteria; Oceanospirillales; Halomonadaceae.
CCUACGGGGGGCUGCAGUGGGGAAUAUUGGACAAUGGGCGAAAGCCUGAUCCAGCCAUGCCGCGUGUGUGAAGAAGGCCUUCAGGUUGUAAAGCACUUUCAGUGGGGAAGAAAGCCUUGGGGCUAAUACCCUCGAGGAAGGACAUCACCCACAGAAGAAGCACCGGCUAACUCCGUGCCAGCAGCCGCGGUAAUACGGAGGGUGCGAGCGUUAAUCGGAAUUACUGGGCGUAAAGCGCGCGUAGGCGGUCUGAUAAGCCGGUUGUGAAAGCCCCGGGCUCAACCUGGGAACGGCAUCCGGAACUGUCAGGCUAGAGUGCAGGAGAGGAAGGUAGAAUUCCCGGUGUAGCGGUGAAAUGCGUAGAGAUCGGGAGGAAUACCAGUGGCGAAGGCGGCCUUCUGGACUGACACUGACGCUGAGGUGCGAAAGCGUGGGUAGCAAACAGGAUUAGAUACCCCGGUAGUC